GCAGGUAUAGCUCAGCGGGAGAGCACUCGCCUCACACGCGAGGGGCCGUUGGUUCGAUCCCAACUACCUGCACCA
RNAcentral lists this transfer RNA (75 nucleotides) under Deltaproteobacteria bacterium. RNAcentral describes it as "tRNA-Val". It matches the Rfam family "tRNA". Rfam says of the family: Transfer RNA (tRNA) molecules are approximately 80 nucleotides in length. Their secondary structure includes four short double-helical elements and three loops (D, anti-codon, and T loops). Further hydrogen bonds mediate the characteristic L-shaped molecular structure. tRNAs have two regions of fundamental functional importance: the anti-codon, which is responsible for specific mRNA codon recognition, and the 3' end, to which the tRNAs corresponding amino acid is attached (by aminoacyl-tRNA synthetases). tRNAs cope with the degeneracy of the genetic code in two manners: having more than one tRNA (with a specific anti-codon) for a particular amino acid; and 'wobble' base-pairing, i.e. permitting non-standard base-pairing at the 3rd anti-codon position. The record is from RNAcentral. Lineage: Bacteria; Pseudomonadati; Myxococcota; Myxococcia. RNAcentral also lists the same sequence under 2 other names.